Molecule: long non-coding RNA, 5310 nt
Filed under: Sus scrofa (pig)
Lineage: Eukaryota; Metazoa; Chordata; Mammalia; Artiodactyla; Suidae
Description: lncRNA (ENSSSCG00005032825.1)
Source: RNAcentral
UUUUUUUUUUUUUCUUUUGUCUUUUUGCUAUUUCUCUGGGCUGCUCCCAUGGCAUAUGGAGAUUCCCAGGCUAGGGGUCGAAUCGGAGCUGUAGCCACCGGCCUACGCCAGAGCCACAGCAACGCGGGAUCCAAGCCGCGUCUGCAACCUACACCACAGCUCACGGCAACGCCGGAUCGUUAACCCACUGAGCAAGGGCAGAGACCGAACCCGCAACCUCAUGGUUCCUAGUCGGAUUCGUUAACCACUGCGCCACCUUCUUUAACUUUUUUAAUGGCCUUUGUUUUAAAGAGUAUUUUGACUCUUAUCCCCUCCAACCCUGCCUUUUUGUUGUUAUUUCCAUUCCCAUGAAAUACCACUGUCCAUCCCUUCAGUUUUAGUCAGUUUGUCUUUUGCCCUAAAGUGGGUCUCUUGUAGACAGCAUAAUGUAGGUUCUUGUUUUGUUAUCCAAUUUGCUACUCUAUGUCUUUUGAUUAGUGCAGUUUAGCUGACAUUAAGGUAAUUAUUGAUAGUUAUGUAUAUACUGCCAUUUUAAACCUUGUAUUCCAAUAGAUUUUGUAUUUCUUGUCUUUUGAAAUUUAUGUACAGUUUCUGUUAUAGUUUAAUUUGUAAUGCCUUAUUUUUCUGAGCUGUUUUAGGUUCACAACAAAAUUAAGAGGAAGUUACAGAGAGUUCCCAAAUACCCUCUGCUCUGGACAAAUUCAUAACCUUCUCCAUUAGCAACAUGCUUCACCAGAAAGUACUUUUGUUACAACUGAUGAACCUAUGUUGACACGUUUUAUCACCCAAAGUCCAUAGUCUAAUGUAGAGCUCACUUUUGGUGUUAUACAUUACAUAGGUUGUAUUUCUUAUUUGCUCCUUUUUUUUUCUUCUUUUGUAUUAUGUUUGAGUUCUUUUUGGUUUUUGUGCAUCUUUUGUAUGUUUUUGAUUGAUGAUUAACCUGGGUUUCAAGUAUGUUAUACCAUACCUAUGUGUUUUAGACUAGUAGUCAUAGGUCAAACACAUUUAAAAAGAAAAAUCUACAUUUUCUUACUCCCCUCCCCCACAUUUAUGAUUUUGACAUUUUAUAUCUUCAUGCUUAUUCUUUUGCUGUUCAUUGCAGUUAUAAUUGCUUUCACAACAUUUUUUAAUAUCUAUGCUGUCUUAAGUGAUCUACUAUCCUUUAUAUAUUUGCUUUUCCUAUUGUGAUUUUCCCUUUCCUGUAGAUUCUUCUUUUCUAUUUAGAGAAGACUUCAAUAUUUCUUUAGGAUAGGUUUACUGUAAUUAUGUUCUUUUAGUUUUUGCUUGUCUGAAAAAAUCUAUUUCUCCUUCUAUUCUAACUGAUAAUCUUGAUGGGUAGAGUAUCCUAGAUUGUAGGAUUUUCCUUUUUAGGGUUUUGAAAAUACCUUGCCACUCCAUUCUGGCUUGAAGUGUUUCUAUAGAGAAAUCAGGUGAUAGUCUUAUGAGGGUUCCCUUAUAAGUAACUCUUCACUUGUGUCUUGCUGCCUUUAGAAUUAUUAACUUCUUUCAUCUUAAUUAUGCUGUCUUGGUUUUGGUUGGUCUGUUUGCAUUCAUCUUGUUUGGGAUCCUCUGUGCUUCCUGUACAUGUAUGUCUGUUUCCUUCUUUAGGUUCGAGAAGUUUUUUGCCAUAAUUUCUCCAAGUACAUUUUUGAUCCUGUUUUCUCUUGCUUCUUUCUGGGAUCCCUAUUAUUCAGAUUGGCAUGCUUUAAAUUAUCCCUUAGACCUUUUACAUUGCUUUGUCUUCUAGAUCACUUAUUCUUCUGCGUAUUUUGCUGUCUUGCCUUUAGCUCAGGUCUGGUAGGCUGGAGAGAUGUUUCAUUGUUCUUGCAGGGGAUUUUUGUAUUUCUUUUUAUCGAGUAUAGUUUCUCUGCUUUUCCACUUUAUUCAUAUCCCUCUGCCUCACACUUAGGGGAAACACUUCUCUACUGUGGUCCUGAAGGGCUGUUUUUAUGUGGCAGCUUGUGAGUCCGUUAUUUUUGGUUCAAAGGUUCCCUUUUGUAUGAAUGUCUAUCACAUCUUUCCUCAGUGUGUGCUGGGCAUUACACUUUGAAUAGUGGGUGUGUGGUAUUGUGGUCACUAGAGCCUGUUCUGGAUGUUGAGUGGGGUUUCCUCUUUGCUCUGUAGUCGCCACAGCCCUUCAGGUGCAGGGUCUGCUCCCCAGUUGUUGUAGAAGGCUCCAGACCCUGUUCUAAGCUGCAGUGUGAGCUUGGUGGGACUGGAGUACUUGCUUUGGGAAAAGAGCCACUGCAUGUUCCUCCCCAGGAGCUGUCCACCAGGACACGUGCUCUGUGAUGUCACUUGUCACCCACUUGGGUGCUCAAAAAGUACACUGUUGUUGGCACUGCCCCUGGCCUGUGCACACCCCAAAAGACUGUUACUGCUGGUGCUGGAUCUGCCUCACCUGCAGGAGUCCUGGUAAGUUAUCAGAUCAGAUGUCCCCCAGGUGCUGCCACUAACUUAAAUCCUCUGAAAUUGUACACCCACUGAGAAUUGACUCAACUUUAAGCCCUGUCUCCAUGUGUGGGCAACCCAUUGGCAUGUACUCCCAAAGCUCAUAGUGGCUGAGCUACACCCACAGUGAGCAAGCCAAGAGUGAGGCUGCUGUGGCAGACCUAUGCCCCUCCUUUCACACAUGCAUUACCAGUGGGGCUCAUGAUAGUAGCCCUGGGCUUUGUCCUGUGCACACCCUCAAGUGCAGCCUGUGCCAGUUCUGGCUCUACAGGCUCUCUUCACCCAGUCCAGCCAUCUUCCCCCCAGGUCUGCCCACUGAAGCCCAGGGUUCAGCACCCAGUCGCCGUGCACAUCAGCAGGUGCUCAACUCAGGCUGGGAAGUGCAGCAAAGACGGCAAGAACUGUUUCUGCUGGUAUCUACCCUCCUGUUGCACUCUCCUCAGAGCCUAUCUGUACGAGCAGCCCAGCAGAUCUCCCUGCUUUUACAACUGUCACAAGGAACCUUUCACAACUCCUUCCCAGGGGUGCAGGUCCCAUUCUGAUUCCUUUUUUUCAUCCUACCUAGUUAUGUGCUGAUCUUUCUGGGCACUCUGGUAUUUUUUGAUGUAUUUGUGUGAAGAGGUGAGCUCCACUUCCUUCUAUUCACCAUCUUGAUCUCUGUUCCCAGGUUUUUAUUUAGCUUCUAAAUUGUUAAAUUUUACAUGGUUCUAAAGUCAAAACUAUAGAAAGUUUCCUUCUCUUUCCUUUCCCUCCUUGUAACCAUGUUUUUAAUUGGUUUUGGGUUUAUGCUUCCAGUUUCCUUUUGAAAUAUAUGCAAGUAUACAUGUAUGUAUAUGCAAACACAUAAAUGUUAUUCACGUUUUUCCCUCUGACAGUAAAGUAGUUAAAUAUACUGUAAAUAAUGAUCUGCAUGCACUUUGCUUUUCCACCAGGUAUGGGUUAGGGUUAGGGUUAGUACACAGAAUCAUUUAUUGAAGACUCAGUAUUUCUUGUCUGGAUGUACCAAAGUACGUCUGCUGAGCUAGUUCUCUAUGUCCUAUGAAUUCAUGCUUGGGUAUUUCUGAUCUUUUGCAGGUAUCACUCCAUAUUUCUGCCAGUAUUAUCUUUGGGAAAAAGCCUAGAAGCAGAAUUGUGAGUCAGAGAAUAAAUGCAUAUAUAAUUCGGGUAGAUAUCCCAACUAUUUUACACAAGUUUUAAGCUCAACAUUUACAUUCCAUUCCCUCAUAUGUAUUUCCCUAUAACCUUUAGAAUUUUUCCAGUAAAAUGUAAAAUGCAGGUUUUUAAAAUUAUUUCUCUGAACAAGGUAUGCAUCUUUUUAUAUGUCACUUGUAUUUCUUCUUGUAAUGAACUGUUAGUAAUUUAGGAAUCCUCUUAAUGUGUCAUGUUCUGGUUAUAUGGGGUUUUCUUGCCAUUUACACAUUUUUUAAUGUAGUUAAAAUUACCUAUUACUUCUACAUUUUAAGUCACAUAGUAUGGUUUUCCCUCACCCUUAGGUUAUAGUGGAGUCCAUAUCUUCCAGUACUCAUGACUUCAUUUUUACAUUUAGGUCGUUGGAAUGUAUCCAUGUAGCAAUUUUUAGUUAUCUCAAUUAAGAGCCCAUUUCUUUCCCACAGCUUUGAAAUGCUGUUUAAUACACCUUAGGUCUUUUCCUAUUUUGUUCCAUUGAUCUGCUUAUUCAUGUGCCGACAUAGCUUUAAUUUUAGUUUUAUAAUGUGUUCAAUAUUUAGUAAUAGCUAUCCUAUAUAACGACUGUUUGUUAAUUAUUUUAGGCUUUCUAGGGCCACACCCAGGGCACAUGGAGGUUCCCAGGGUAGGGGUCUAAUUGGAGCUACAGCUGCCAGCCUAUGCCACAGCUCACGGCAACGCCAGAUCCUUAACCCACUGAGCAAGGCCAGAGAUGGAACCCGCAACCUCAUAGUUCCUAGUCAGAUUGGUUUCCACUGUGCCACGACAGGAACCCAUAUGUUAAUUUUAAACCCCACCACAUUUUACACUACUACUUUUACCAAACCUUGAUUAUUAAUUUUUGUAGUUUUAGAUUUUUCUUUUAUGCGUUUUAAUUUGCUUUCUCUUAUCGAACUGCACUGGCAGAUGCUUGCAAUAUAACAUAGUUAUGAAGAUCAUUGGCAUCUUGUUCUUACUUCUGAUUUUAGGGGGACUAUACCCUCCAAAAUAAGUAAUUUCCCCCAAAACCUGACUUUUCUGACAUACUCCUGAACAGACAGUAAAGCUACUCCACAGAAUAAAAACCUGACUUUCACUGAACAUAGGAAGAGAUAUGAUUUUCACAUUUAUUUUUGCUUUAUAGUUACUGUUUUCAAGCUAUCUGAUUGAGAGCAAAACUUAACUGGUACCAUACAAAAAACUGGUACUACAGAAAAAACAAAUGUAUUUUGGGAGUAUCCAUGAAGAUGCAGGUUUGACCCCUGGCCUCGCUCAGUGGAUUGGGGAUCUGGUAUUGCCAUGAGCUGUGUGCAGGUGUGGCCCUAAAAAGCAAAAAAAACCAAAAAAACCCAAAUACAUCAUACAUCAACCUUUCUAUAACAGUGUUCAAACACAGGUCCAAACUUGAAUUUUAUGCAAAAAAUUCACGUUUUAUUUUUAUUUAUUCUUACAUUGGUGGUAGCUGACGUCAGGAGCUGAGUCAGGAACUGAAAGGCAAGCAAUGACUUAUUUUCUACCUCUUAGCUGAACAGAAAUACACACAAUAUGGCAUUUUCAUUAGGCAACGCUUGCUUUUUUACAUUUCACACUGGACUGCAACAUUACCCUUUCUUGAAGGAAAUGACCCACUUACUAAGGAAAACCAUCUUUGGAGGAAGUGUUUAAUAAGUGUUAUUUUAAAAUAAAUUUUCCAAU